This 84-nucleotide transfer RNA is filed under the name Chloroflexi bacterium RBG_16_64_43. Its description in RNAcentral is "tRNA-Leu". It matches the Rfam family "tRNA". From Rfam's summary of the family: Transfer RNA (tRNA) molecules are approximately 80 nucleotides in length. The record is from RNAcentral. Lineage: Bacteria; Bacillati; Chloroflexota.
GCCGAAGUGGCGGAAAUGGCAGACGCGCUGCGUUCAGGGCGCAGUGGCCGUAAGGCCGUCGGGGUUCAACUCCCCGCUUCGGCA